CAUCUAAGGACCUUUAGAAGAACUGCAUUUGUCCAAACUGGUCACCAAAAUGUGUCCUCUGUCUGUGCAAGGGUUCAAAAAUUCUUGAUAAUUCAACCAGCUCAGUAUCCAAAGGAAGCAGGAAAGAGAUGAAAUAAUAUCAAGAUUUCUUCCGCUGAGUACUGAAAUGCUACUUGGACCAUGCAAAAGGAUUUCCAUCCCCCUGGCUACCAGCAAGACCGCCUGAAAGAAACUGGCAAGGGGAUGAAAUAUACUUGGAACCGCAGACACUUAAGUUUUCUGAUAGAAUUAGCUAACAUACUGCACUGUAGUUCAGGCCUGGGACGUAGCGGGGCUCGUCCCUUGCACAGAGAGGAGAUGGGCAUCCCUCUGAAACACUGCUGCAGGAGAAAGACUCUGAUGAUCACACUUCAUGGCUUUGAUGCGCUGAUGAAAUGGCGAAAGGGCACAUGUUCUGGACAACUAGAAAUCAUUUUCACUUAACUUUAAGACAAACCACGGAGCGAAACACCAUGACUCCUGCUGAGUACAUUUCAAACACAGGAAGAGUGGAGGAUUUCUUCUGAAAUCAGAGCACAAAAGCAGUCAUCCUGUCAUAACACCCAUCUAAAAGGCUGCCUUUCCCCAAAGACGCUAACAGAUACGCUCCCAAUAGCGGGUAACAUAAUGAUUCUUGACGUUAUUUGAAAGACAAGGAAAAGGAGGCUAAAUAUAAUGGAAAUACUAGAGAAGAAACACUGCUGUGUUCACAUUAUUUAAUGAAGACUUCUUGCUGUUUAGAAGGUGAACUAGUUAAGGAUGCAUACAUGUGAAAGGACAGGGACACAUUAAAUGUGUUUUUGGCCCAAAC
Suricata suricatta (meerkat) is the source of this 850-nucleotide long non-coding RNA. RefSeq lists it as uncharacterized. NCBI's taxonomy places the organism in Eukaryota, Metazoa, Chordata, Mammalia, Carnivora, Herpestidae. The transcript is spliced from 5 exons. The record is from RefSeq and is a predicted model, not a curated record.